This 253-nucleotide ribosomal RNA is filed under the name uncultured bacterium. Its description in RNAcentral is "partial 16S ribosomal RNA". It matches the Rfam family "Bacterial small subunit ribosomal RNA", at positions 524 to 776 of the family's 1533-position model. The record is from RNAcentral.
GACAGAGGCCUCAAGCGUUAGGCGGAAUCACUGGGCUUAAAGCGUGUGUAGGCGGAUCGUUAAGUGUCUUGUGAAAUCCCACGGCUCAACCGUGGAACUGCUGGGCAUACUGCGGGUCUUGGGCCAACUAGGGGCAGCCGGAACAAGCGGUGGAGCGGUGAAAUGCGUAGAUAUCGCUUGGAACGCCGAAGGUGAAAACAGGCUGCUGGGGUUGCGCCGACGCUGAGACACGAAAGCCAGGGGAGCAAACGGG